RNAcentral lists this ribosomal RNA (359 nucleotides) under uncultured bacterium. Its description in RNAcentral is "bacterial SSU rRNA". It matches the Rfam family "Bacterial small subunit ribosomal RNA", at positions 30 to 391 of the family's 1533-position model. The record is from RNAcentral.
AUUGAACGCUGGCGGCAUGCCUUACACAUGCAAGUCGAACGGCAGCGGACCUUCGGGUGCCGGCGAGUGGCGAACGGGUGAGUAAUAUAUCGGAACGUACCUUUCAGUGGGGGAUAACGUAGCGAAAGUUACGCUAAUACCGCAUAUUCUGUGAGCAGGAAAGCAGGGGAUCGCAAGACCUUGCGCUGAUUGAGCGGCCGAUAUCAGAUUAGCUAGUUGGUGAGGUAAAGGCUCACCAAGGCGACGAUCUGUAGCGGGUCUGAGAGGAUGAUCCGCCACACUGGAACUGAGACACGGUCCAGACUCCUACGGGAGGCAGCAGUGGGGAAUUUUGGACAAUGGGCGCAAGCCUGAUCCAA